This 240-nucleotide ribosomal RNA is filed under the name uncultured bacterium. Its description in RNAcentral is "partial 16S ribosomal RNA". It matches the Rfam family "Bacterial small subunit ribosomal RNA", at positions 96 to 339 of the family's 1533-position model. The record is from RNAcentral.
UGGCGAACGGGUGAGUAAUAUAUCGGAACGUACCUUAUCGUGGGGGAUAACGCAGCGAAAGCUGCGCUAAUACCGCAUACGCCCUGAGGGGGAAAGCGGGGGACCGUAAGGCCUCGCGCGAUUAGAGCGGCCGAUAUCUGAUUAGGUAGUUGGUAGGGUAAAGGCCUACCAAGCCGACGAUCAGUAGCUGGUCUGAGAGGAUGAUCAGCCACACUGGGACUGAGACACGGCCCAGACUCC